RNAcentral lists this ribosomal RNA (420 nucleotides) under Acinetobacter sp. 48B(2010). RNAcentral describes it as "bacterial SSU rRNA". It matches the Rfam family "Bacterial small subunit ribosomal RNA", at positions 272 to 684 of the family's 1533-position model. The record is from RNAcentral. Lineage: Bacteria; Pseudomonadati; Pseudomonadota; Gammaproteobacteria; Moraxellales; Moraxellaceae.
GGCGACGAUCUGUAGCGGGUCUGAGAGGAUGAUCCGCCACACUGGGACUGAGACACGGCCCAGACUCCUACGGGAGGCAGCAGUGGGGAAUAUUGGACAAUGGGCGCAAGCCUGAUCCAGCCAUGCCGCGUGUGUGAAGAAGGCCUUUUGGUUGUAAAGCACUUUAAGCGAGGAGGAGGCUACUUGGAUUAAUACUCUAGGAUAGUGGACGUUACUCGCAGAAUAAGCACCGGCUAACUCUGUGCCAGCAGCCGCGGUAAUACAGAGGGUGCGAGCGUUAAUCGGAUUUACUGGGCGUAAAGCGUGCGUAGGCGGCUUCUUAAGUCGGAUGUGAAAUCCUGAGCUUAACUUAGGAAUUGCAUUCGAUACUGGGAAGCUAGAGUAUGGGAGAGGAUGGUAGAAUUCCAGGUGUAGCGGUGA